This 1528-nucleotide ribosomal RNA is filed under the name Klebsiella pneumoniae. Its description in RNAcentral is "bacterial SSU rRNA". It matches the Rfam family "Bacterial small subunit ribosomal RNA". Lineage: Bacteria; Pseudomonadati; Pseudomonadota; Gammaproteobacteria; Enterobacterales; Enterobacteriaceae. The record is from RNAcentral.
AGAGUUUGAUCAUGGCUCAGAUUGAACGCUGGCGGCAGGCCUAACACAUGCAAGUCGAGCGGUAGCACAGAGAGCUUGCUCUCGGGUGACGAGCGGCGGACGGGUGAGUAAUGUCUGGGAAACUGCCUGAUGGAGGGGGAUAACUACUGGAAACGGUAGCUAAUACCGCAUAACGUCGCAAGACCAAAGUGGGGGACCUUCGGGCCUCAUGCCAUCAGAUGUGCCCAGAUGGGAUUAGCUAGUAGGUGGGGUAACGGCUCACCUAGGCGACGAUCCCUAGCUGGUCUGAGAGGAUGACCAGCCACACUGGAACUGAGACACGGUCCAGACUCCUACGGGAGGCAGCAGUGGGGAAUAUUGCACAAUGGGCGCAAGCCUGAUGCAGCCAUGCCGCGUGUGUGAAGAAGGCCUUCGGGUUGUAAAGCACUUUCAGCGGGGAGGAAGGCGUUGAGGUUAAUAACCUUAGCGAUUGACGUUACCCGCAGAAGAAGCACCGGCUAACUCCGUGCCAGCAGCCGCGGUAAUACGGAGGGUGCAAGCGUUAAUCGGAAUUACUGGGCGUAAAGCGCACGCAGGCGGUCUGUCAAGUCGGAUGUGAAAUCCCCGGGCUCAACCUGGGAACUGCAUUCGAAACUGGCAGGCUAGAGUCUUGUAGAGGGGGGUAGAAUUCCAGGUGUAGCGGUGAAAUGCGUAGAGAUCUGGAGGAAUACCGGUGGCGAAGGCGGCCCCCUGGACAAAGACUGACGCUCAGGUGCGAAAGCGUGGGGAGCAAACAGGAUUAGAUACCCUGGUAGUCCACGCCGUAAACGAUGUCGAUUUGGAGGUUGUGCCCUUGAGGCGUGGCUUCCGGAGCUAACGCGUUAAAUCGACCGCCUGGGGAGUACGGCCGCAAGGUUAAAACUCAAAUGAAUUGACGGGGGCCCGCACAAGCGGUGGAGCAUGUGGUUUAAUUCGAUGCAACGCGAAGAACCUUACCUGGUCUUGACAUCCACAGAACUUUCCAGAGAUGGAUUGGUGCCUUCGGGAACUGUGAGACAGGUGCUGCAUGGCUGUCGUCAGCUCGUGUUGUGAAAUGUUGGGUUAAGUCCCGCAACGAGCGCAACCCUUAUCCUUUGUUGCCAGCGGUCCGGCCGGGAACUCAAAGGAGACUGCCAGUGAUAAACUGGAGGAAGGUGGGGAUGACGUCAAGUCAUCAUGGCCCUUACGACCAGGGCUACACACGUGCUACAAUGGCAUAUACAAAGAGAAGCGACCUCGCGAGAGCAAGCGGACCUCAUAAAGUAUGUCGUAGUCCGGAUUGGAGUCUGCAACUCGACUCCAUGAAGUCGGAAUCGCUAGUAAUCGUAGAUCAGAAUGCUACGGUGAAUACGUUCCCGGGCCUUGUACACACCGCCCGUCACACCAUGGGAGUGGGUUGCAAAAGAAGUAGGUAGCUUAACCUUCGGGAGGGCGCUUACCACUUUGUGAUUCAUGACUGGGGUGAAGUCGUAACAAGGUAACCGUAGGGGAACCUGCGGUUGGAUCACCU